GGAACAGGCUGUGCUUGAGGCCGAACUCGAUGCCGGCCACGCUGGUGACGCCGUCGGAGCCGUUCCAGGCCGCGAAGUUGUCCAGGUUUGUUUGUAGGUGGCCAGUGACUUUGGUCUGUUGGAGCCAGGCAGACAGAAGAUGGCCCUCACAGAAAACCCUGGUGGCCCGACCAGCAGGAGAUGCAGUCUUUCAGGAUGAGGAGGAGAGUCAUGGGGCCCAGAGGUGACCUGGGCGAGCCGCUCAGUUCACAGAAGGUCCUACACUGUCAAAACCACCUCCCGAAUUUCCAUGAGAACCAACUAGACUUUGUGUCUUUAGGUCUGAAGUGACCUCGGAGCCACAACCUGGAGCAGCUGGGAAGACACGACAUUUUCUUAGGGGACACGACAGUCAGAUGUCAGAAACGCCCGAAAUACACCUACAGGUGGAGCCGGGACCCGUGGGAGCUGCACUGUGGUCGCGGAAG
Molecule: long non-coding RNA, 467 nt
Organism: Prionailurus viverrinus (fishing cat)
Lineage: Eukaryota; Metazoa; Chordata; Mammalia; Carnivora; Felidae
Exons: 4
Source: RefSeq, a predicted model, not a curated record